AUUGAACGCUGGCGGCGUGCCUAACACAUGCAAGUCGAGCGGUAACAGGUGUAGCAAUACAUGCUGACGAGCGGCGAACGGGUGAGUAGUGCUUCGGAAUCUACCUUAUGGUGGGGAAUAACUAGCCGAAAGGUUAGCUAAUACCGCAUACGUCCUACGGGAGAAAGCAGGGGAUCGCAAGACCUUGCGCCAAAAGAUGAGCCGAAGUCGGAUUAGCUAGUUGGUAGGGUAACGGCCUACCAAGGCGACGAUCCGUAGCUGGUCUGAGAGGACGACCAGCCACACUGGGACUGAGACACGGCCCAGAGUCCUACGGGAGGCAGCAGUGGGGAAUAUUGGACAAUGGGGGAAACCCUGAUCCAGCGACGCCGCGUGUGUGAAGAAGGCCUGCGGGUUGUAAAGCACUUUUAGUGGGGAUGAAAUGUGCAGGGUUAAUACCUCUGCAUUUUGACCUAACCCACAGAAAAAGCACCGGCUAACUCUGUGCCAGCCGCCGCGGUAA
Molecule: ribosomal RNA, 502 nt
Filed under: uncultured bacterium
Lineage: Bacteria
Description: partial 16S ribosomal RNA
Rfam family: Bacterial small subunit ribosomal RNA
Source: RNAcentral